Non-coding RNA from Mus musculus (house mouse), 47 nucleotides. NCBI's taxonomy places the organism in Eukaryota, Metazoa, Chordata, Mammalia, Rodentia, Muridae. The record is from Rfam.
UCAAAGGUUCUUUUCAGAACUACAAAACAUUCUUAACACUCUUACAU